AAAUUCAGCCAAAUAACGAUAAUAAUCUCCCUUCAUCUUCAAGUAAAACACCUUCGACUCACCAGCAGAAGCUGAAGGAAUCAAAUACUGAUCCAAAAUCUUCAAAAUUCCAGCACAAACAUCACUAAGCUCAGAUUCAACCUUAGAUCUAUAAUCCUUCACUAAAACCACGUGUUCGUCGUUCUUCCUCCCUUCUUCCUUUUGCUCAAUUGACGAUACUAUCCUCCACGCGGCUCGAAGUGAACCGAUUACGUUCUUAUACGCUACCGAGAGGAGAUUUCGCUCCUCUACAGUUAGUUCAGAGGAACCCGAGACGGCUACGAGGCGGUCCAUGAAUUUUACCAUCUCCUCGUAACGCUCGGCUUGCUCGGCGAGCUUUGCUAAGUAUAGGCACUGCUCUCUGGUUAAAUUUUCCGGUACGGCCAUCGUCGGAGAUUCGCCGGAGAUUUUUUUAUUUUUUUCUCUUGGUGCUUUUAGAGAGAGGUUUUUUUUUUUUUUUGUUUCGUUUAUGAGAUUUUUUGAAUGUUUCGAAGAGGUUGAGAGAGAGAGGAUUUUUAUAUUGGGAGGGAAGUGUAGUGUAACUUGGUAUUGGUAUCUUUUGUUUAACGCCCACUUGCGUGUGUAAGUUCAAAUACCGUACUCGCCUCAGUUAUGAGAGGGGAGGAAAUGACUACUAAUAAAAUACGAGGGGGAGUUUGAUUUUUAAGUCAAACUUGAGGGAUGUAAAUAAUUUUUUGAGAUUUUUUAAAA
This 750-nucleotide long non-coding RNA is filed under the name Nicotiana tabacum (common tobacco). RNAcentral's name for it is "long non-coding RNA (NTAB_LNC007189)". Lineage: Eukaryota; Viridiplantae; Streptophyta; Magnoliopsida; Solanales; Solanaceae. The record is from RNAcentral.